Camellia sinensis is the source of this 1862-nucleotide RNA transcript. It is a transcript of the gene named S-methyl-5-thioribose kinase, with no coding region annotated. The record is from RefSeq and is a predicted model, not a curated record. NCBI's taxonomy places the organism in Eukaryota, Viridiplantae, Streptophyta, Magnoliopsida, Ericales, Theaceae.
UUUCAUUCACUAUUCUAAAGAAUCUAAUCCAGUCCGGCCCUCCUUUCAAGCCCUAGCUUCCUUUCUCACCGUCAAAACUCCAACGUCAUUUUUAAGCCGAAGUUCACCAUCACCACCGUCGCCGCCACAAAGCUUAGCCGACAAUGGCGUCGGAAGGGUUCCGGCCACUGGACGAGAAGUCUUUGGUGGAGUACAUAAAGGCCACUCCAUCUCUGUCGUCUAAGCUCGGCAACGAACUCGAUGACCUCCAAAUCAAAGAGGUCGGCGAUGGAAAUCUCAACUUCGUCUAUAUUGUUUCCAGCCCCUCCGGUUCGCUCGUCGCCAAACAGGCUCUCCCAUACAUACGUUGCAUAGGGGAAUCAUGGCCGAUGACAAAGGAGCGCGCUUACUUUGAGGCAGUGACUCUAAAAGAGCAUGGUCGUUUGUGCCCUGAUCAUGUUCCGGAAGUUUAUCACUUUGACAGGGUUAUGUCUUUGAUUGGCAUGCGCUAUUUGGAACCUCCACAUAUAAUAUUGAGGAAAGGGUUGAUAGCUGGAAUUGAGUACCCGUUGCUUGCAGAACACAUAUCAGAAUAUAUGGCAAGGACUCUUUUCUUCACAUCACUUCUUCACCGUACUACCACGGAGCACAAACGAGCAGUUGCUGAUUUUUGUGGGAAUGUGGAGUUAUGCAGGCUCACUGAGCAGGUUGUCUUUUCUGAUCCUUACAAAGUGUCUCCUCAUAACCGCUGGACUUCUCCCUAUCUUGAUCGUGAUGUGGAGGCAGUUCGUGAGGAUAACGCUUUGAAGCUUGAAGUUGCUGAGUUGAAAUCCAUGUUUUGCGAAAGGGCCCAAGCCCUUAUACAUGGUGAUCUCCAUACUGGUUCUGUGAUGGUUACAAGCGAUUCAACUCAGGUUAUAGAUCCAGAAUUUGCUUUCUAUGGGCCUAUGGGGUUUGAUAUUGGAGCCUUUGUAGGAAAUUUAAUUUUGGCUUUCUUCGCUCAAGAUGGUCAUGCAGAUCAGGAGAAUGACCGAAAAGCAUAUAAAGAUUGGAUCUUGAGGACAAUUGAGGAGACUUGGAAUUUAUUCCACAAAAAAUUUACUGCUUUGUGGGACAAACACAAGGAUGGCUCUGGUGAGGCUUAUCUUCCAACAAUUUAUAACAACCCUCAACUUCAGCUGCUGGUAAAACAGAAAUUCAUGAAAGAUUUGUUCCAUGACACUCUUGGUUUUGGUGCUGCCAAAAUGAUAAGGAGAAUUGUCGGGGUAGCUCAUGUUGAGGAUUUUGAAUCAAUCACUAAUGCCGGUAAAAGAGCAGAUUGUGAGCGGCGAGCCCUUGACUUUGCUAAGAUGCUUAUGAAGGAAAGGAGAAAAUUUCAGGGCAUCACUGAAGUUGUUUCUGCCAUUCAUAAACUCCAUUCUUGACAAAGUACUUGUCACUCCACAGAGACAAUUCAGAUAUGUUUAGGCGAUCACUCAAUCCAUAGGUUAGACGCUGCGUCCUAGCCAUGUGAUUCAGGAAGCCAACUGUGAUCAAGGACAGGAUGGGACUUAGUGGCGUCGACCUAGUCUCUGCCUUUUUGUUAAGCCAACCUUUAUGCCUCACUGUGAGGUUUCAACCGGUCAAGCUUCGAAGCUUAAUGGGUGGUGUAAAAUUCACCCUUUUGUAUGGUGAACUAGUGCUAUAUGUGAUUUGAAUGUUGACAAGAUUGGUUUUGUUUGUCUGAUUAACUCCCUGAGUUUUGGUUAUGUUUUUGUGACUGUAAUGGUUUGAUACGUAUAUUUAUGUAUAUAUGUAUGUAAGUUCAUUCUGUCCCAUUUAAGUCUUCAGAACUUAUUGGACGUUUUAUUUGAUUAAUUAUUGGCUUCUGCCAGUCCCUACUA